GGGGGAACCAGCUACAAGGGAUUGCAAUGCUUGUCAUACUCUCUUGCUAUAAUCACUGAGCUCUUGUAAGAGCUGUUCUCUUCCUGCUACGCUCUCUGGGGAAAGAGAGGUUCACCCACUGGAAGCUAGAUCCUGGCCUUGGGUCCAGGGUGGGUGAAGACGGCGAGACCCCGGCACAGCUGCAUCGCUGGAAGUGGGUCUGCAGUUCUGAUGGUGUCGGUUGGAGUGCUUGGGAGUCCUCAGCGAGCACUAGGAGCAUCGAUUGGCGGAGGUACUCGGUCGGAGUGCCAGCGGUCCAUCACAUCUACAUAUUAAGGAAAUUUUGGUUGCUACAUUGGGUAUCCGAAUGUUUGUUCAGGGUACAUUUCAUUGGCUACCCAAUCUGUUCGAUUCUGUUUUUUUCUCUCGUUUCAGUUUACAGUGCAUUAACAUUAUCUGGUUUGGCAGUUCUUCUCGGAUGGUGGACAUUGUUGUAUUCAUUGUAUCUAGGACUUAGUUUCUUCCCCAUUAUUUUGUCUAUCCU
Molecule: non-coding RNA, 523 nt
Organism: Pelobates cultripes (western spadefoot toad)
Lineage: Eukaryota; Metazoa; Chordata; Amphibia; Anura; Pelobatidae
Source: the annotation of a GenBank genome assembly